This 23-nucleotide non-coding RNA is filed under the name Cricetulus griseus (Chinese hamster). The record is from RNAcentral. Lineage: Eukaryota; Metazoa; Chordata; Mammalia; Rodentia; Cricetidae.
AGAGCAUUGUUGGGUGAAUGUGC